UACAGAGGUCUCAAGCGUUGUUCGGAUUCAUUGGGCGUAAAGGGUGCGUAGGCGGCGCGGUAAGUCGGGUGUGAAAUCUCGGAGCUUAACUCCGAAACUGCAUUCGAUACUGCCGUGCUUGAGGACUGGAGAGGAGACUGGAAUUUACGGUGUAGCGGUGAAAUGCGUAGAUAUCGUAAGGAAGACCAGUGGCGAAGGCGAGUCUCUGGAAAGCUGCUGACGCUGAGGCACGAAGGCCAGGGGAGCAAACGGG
This 253-nucleotide ribosomal RNA is filed under the name uncultured bacterium. RNAcentral's name for it is "partial 16S ribosomal RNA". It matches the Rfam family "Bacterial small subunit ribosomal RNA", at positions 524 to 776 of the family's 1533-position model. The record is from RNAcentral.